GACUGAACGUUAGAAUAGGCAAAAAGAAUGACCUAAGCGGCUUUGAGUGUGGUCUGAUUGUCGGUGCCAGGCGUGCCGGAUCCAGUAUCUCAGAAAUGUCCGAUCUCCUGGGCUUUCCACUCACAACAGUGUUUAGGGUUUACCGAGAAUGGUGAGAGAAACAAAAGAAUCCAGUCAGCGGCAGUCCUGUGGGUGAAAACAGCUUGUUGAUAAGAGAGGUCGAAAGAGACAAACAAAUAACUGUGCAGUACAACAGUGGUGUGCAGAACAGCAUCUCGGAACGCACAACUUGUUGAUCCUUGUCAUGGAUGGAUGGGCUAUUGCAGCAGACGACCACACCAGGUUCCACUUUUAUCUGCUAUAAACAAGAAGACGCGGCUCCAGUGGGCACACGAUCGCCAACACUGGACAACUGAGGAGAGGAAAAACAUUGCCUGGUCCGACGAAUCCCAGUUCCUGUUGCGUCAUGCUGAUGGCAGUCAGGAUUUGGUGUAAGCAGCAUGAGUCCUUGGACUCAUCCUUCCUGCUUUCAACAGUACAGGCUGGUGGCGGUAUUGCACUGGACAUGCAGCAGCUUGUAGGGGGAUUCCUCGUGGCUGCAGCGACUCGUGGGACUCUCCUGGAAGUACUGGGAGUCUAGCUGGCAGAUAGCACCAGGCCCCUUGGUGAAGUACUCCACCAGGAAGGACUUAUGGACCUCUAUCUCAUCCGGGAGGAAGGCUUGCUGUACCUUGCUCAUCAUUUCGGAGACUCUGACUUGUACCAAAGGGCUCAGCGGAUGGGAACGCCUACGACUGUCAGAGAUUUAGAUCACGAUACAGGGAUAAGAACCCACAGACAUACAGAAGGGUACGUUGUAAUGGUGGGCACCAAUAUCUAAAAUUCCCACAGACAUACACGCAUAUAAAUUAAUGCUACACACAAAUCACAACUGCUGCUGCCAGACUCUUAUUAUGAUUGCUAAAUACUGCACAAUUUAAACACUUGCCCCCAAAUCCCCCCUUCCCCAAAACACAUGUAAAUAUUGGACUAUAAAUUGUACCUUACUGUAUUAUUCUUAUGCUAAAAUGUUUAUUAUAUUCUACUGAGACAUUUACUUUAUGUUGGUAUUCUUAUCGUUUAUUAUUUCUUAUUGUUGUUGCAUUGUCAAGAAGGAAGCUGCAAGUAAGCAUUUCAUUGGCUGGUGUAUACCACGUGUAUCCUGUACGACUAAUAAAACUUGAAAAAUAUAUCAGUAUCGCUUGAUACUGUUUUGACUUCAAUAUUGUUUGAUUUGGGGUUGAUAUCGAUAUGAGCAAGACAUAUCGUGAUAUUGGUUUAUCCUUCCUGUUAACCUAUGCUAUUAUGUAAAAAGCAUACAUGACUGUUCCUGCAUGCACAAAAUCCUCUCGCAGAUGUUCACAUGCUCUCAACUUAAUAUACUUAACGUGAACAUUUUUCUCCAAUAAAAAAAUGCUUGAACAUGUGGUGCGGCAGGUAGCCUGGUGGAUAGUGUUGGGCCAGUAACCGAAAGGUCGCUGGUUAGAAUACCCAAGCUGACAAGGUGAAGUCUUUCUGUGCCCUUGAGCAAGGCUCCAGGGGCGCCGUACUACCAUGUCUGACUCUGUAAAACAACACAUUUCACUGCAUCUGUGACAAUACAUAUGUUUUUUUUCUGGUUUAGGAAAUUUUGUUAAUUUGGCAAUGUGAAACCAACUGGACCAAAUGUAAAUAAAAUACUAUAGCUCAGAGCUAUGUGUGAAAUGCCCUUACUUGCCUGCUGAUAGAUCAUUGACAGUGGAUGUGUUUCCCAUUGCAGUUAAACUGGUUGACUAAAGUUAGGCUCCCAGAACAUUCCCAUCUGGCCAAAUGAGCAAUCAGCAACCAGUUCAACUUCACAGAUCCAUGAAAGUGAAACACUAAUGAACUUUUACACUGUUCCAAUAUUUUUUAUUAACCAAUGUGUUAUUAAAAAAAUGUAACUGAUAGAUGCCCAUGAUUAACAUUUUUGAUGUGUGCUUGCAUGACCUGCUGCCCAUCUGCUCUGAUUUGAACCUCAAUGAAAAAGGUUCUGUUGUUGGAGAUCCAUUUGAUGUUUUGAUUGCUCCAUACUUAUUUUCCCCCUCAGAUUAUUUGGUACUUGAAUCAAAUGUGAAGAAAUCAAUAGACAACAGUCUAUUCAAGCCAACACACACAUAUUGGAGCGUAAGAUUGGAG
Salmo salar (Atlantic salmon) is the source of this 2196-nucleotide long non-coding RNA. RefSeq lists it as uncharacterized. Lineage: Eukaryota; Metazoa; Chordata; Actinopteri; Salmoniformes; Salmonidae. The record is from RefSeq and is a predicted model, not a curated record.